UACGUAGGGUGCGAGCGUUGUCCGGAAUUACUGGGCGUAAAGAGCUCGUAGGUGGUUUGUCGCGUUGUCCGUGAAAACUCACAACUCAAUUGUGGGCGUGCGGGCGAUACGGGCAGACUGGAGUACUGCAGGGGAGACUGGAAUUCCUGGUGUAGCAGUGAAAUGCGUAGAUAUCAGGAGGAAUACCGAUGGCGAAGGCAGGUCUCUGGGCUAACACUGACGCUCAUGCACGAAAGCGUGGGGAGCAAAAGGG
This 253-nucleotide ribosomal RNA is filed under the name uncultured bacterium. RNAcentral's name for it is "partial 16S ribosomal RNA". It matches the Rfam family "Bacterial small subunit ribosomal RNA", at positions 524 to 776 of the family's 1533-position model. The record is from RNAcentral.